Long non-coding RNA from Archocentrus centrarchus (flier cichlid), 257 nucleotides. RefSeq lists it as uncharacterized. NCBI's taxonomy places the organism in Eukaryota, Metazoa, Chordata, Actinopteri, Cichliformes, Cichlidae. The transcript has 3 exons. The record is from RefSeq and is a predicted model, not a curated record.
GCCUGCAGACACUGACAGGAAGUGAACUCCUCUCUUUGGCACAGCAGAGUUCACCUGCUGAGCUUGAAGUCACAUGUUUUUACAUGUCAGAGCAUAAAGGAGGACAAUAUCAGUCUCCUCACAGUAACAUGUCCUCCAUCAGCAUCCAAAAGGAACAAAGCACUUUGACCUCAUCUACUCCUGAACCUAUGAAAUUCACAACUCACAAACUCACGAGAGUCACGAUUCCUGAGGAACAAAGCACUUUGACCUCAUCU